GGCUUUAAAUACUUUCGGUUGCAACCCGAAAAAUAAAAGCGAUGCUUUUGAAAGCCU
RNAcentral lists this transfer RNA (57 nucleotides) under Branchiostoma belcheri (Belcher's lancelet). RNAcentral describes it as "tRNA-Cys". Lineage: Eukaryota; Metazoa; Chordata; Leptocardii; Amphioxiformes; Branchiostomatidae. The record is from RNAcentral.